RNAcentral lists this unclassified non-coding RNA (445 nucleotides) under Hevea brasiliensis (rubber tree). The record is from RNAcentral. Lineage: Eukaryota; Viridiplantae; Streptophyta; Magnoliopsida; Malpighiales; Euphorbiaceae.
GUGACAACCAUAAUUCCGACCACCAUUAAGGACUUUCGAUUCCGAUAACAGCCACCUUUCAUCGAUAUUUGAAGAGCACCUAUUAUCUGCACGAAGCCAAGGUCCAUAUGCGAAUUGGCUCCUUGAAACUUCAGGAUGUUCCAAAAGCUUUGCACAAAAACGAUCAGAAUGUCCCAAGUAGCCAUAGAAAAAGCAGAAUGUAGAUAACCUCUCAUACUUAAAAUCCACCCACUCCCAUUCCCCUUUAGGAUGUUUCAUUUGAAGCUUACAUUUGAGAGGUUUGUUGACAUCCAUGAGAUUCCAAUGUUUGCAUAUCCAGCUCGGCACAGGAUUCCAAUGAUGAGAAAUGCAUUGUUGCCUAACUCUUUCACCGGCAUUCCUUUAACUGGCCUCCACAUCGCCGCCAUGAUUUGCUUAAAAGCAACAAAAUUCAACGGCUUCUCCG